GACGUAGGGGACGAGCGUUGUCCGGAUUCAUUGGGCGUAAAGCGCGCGUAGGCGGUUCGGUAAGUCGGGUGUGAAAACACGAGGCUCAACCUCGUGCGUGCAUCCGAUACUGCCGGACUAGAGGUAGGUAGGGGAGAUCGGAAUUCCUGGUGUAGCGGUGAAAUGCGCAGAUAUCAGGAGGAACACCGGUGGCGAAGGCGGAUCUCUGGGCCUUACCUGACGCUCAUGCGCGAAAGCUAGGGGAGCAAACGGG
This 253-nucleotide ribosomal RNA is filed under the name uncultured bacterium. RNAcentral's name for it is "partial 16S ribosomal RNA". It matches the Rfam family "Bacterial small subunit ribosomal RNA", at positions 524 to 776 of the family's 1533-position model. The record is from RNAcentral.